RNAcentral lists this long non-coding RNA (954 nucleotides) under Microcebus murinus (gray mouse lemur). RNAcentral describes it as "lncRNA (ENSMICG00000048509.1)". The record is from RNAcentral. Lineage: Eukaryota; Metazoa; Chordata; Mammalia; Primates; Cheirogaleidae.
CCUUCCUUCACCGUGGAGCCUUGCCAGUUCUCUUUGGUAAAUGACCUGCGAGGCCCGUGCUGAGAAGAAGGAAGAGCAAGCCUGGGAAGAACCCAUGAAGAAUGGAAAGCAAAGAAAAGCAGACACACCUAUCGUUUCUAGAAUGCGUUGAAAGGAUCAUCAAAAUGAGGAAGAAAUUCACAGAGAGAAUUUUCCAGUAAACCUCUCAGAUCAUUGCAAACUUCCUGUUCCCAACCGUGGUUCCUCUUCUCGGCCGCUCAUUCCAGGCAGCGGGAGAGCUCAUAAUCAGCAGAAAAUUAACUCGGCAGGGUGUGCGCUGAAGCGCAUGGACUUCCACGGGAAGGAAGUUUUCAUUUUGUUUUCUUUUGUUUUUAUGAAACAUUGCUUUUUACUUGUGGUGUGCCUUUUGAAAUUAAGGAUUAUUUUUUUGAAGGUAGAGACUUUUUGGUUUAGCCCAGUUCUCAACACCUGGACCACAUUCAAUACAUAUUGUUGAAUUGAAUGUUUAAUAUGUGCUUCUCUUUGAUCAAAUAAAGAAUAUUUUACGGGAUUUUUCAUUUCAGCUGAGCUUAUAGGAAUAGGCGAUCUUUGGAAAUUAGGGAAAUCACUUCCUAGCGGCUGUGAUCCAAGUUUAAAUUCUGGGUCCUUGAGCAUACAUUUAAAACAAGGGCCUUUGACCCUUCGUGAAGUACAAAAUAAGCACAUAGCUAAUGUAAACUUCCUCUGAAAUCAGUGGUUAUCAGGCUUGGCUGCAGAGUGCAAUCACCUGGAGCAGGACAUGGGGUAGGAUUUUUUUUGCAAAUACUGAUGCCUGGAUCUCAGACCCAGAAAUUUUUCGUGUGGUUGAUCUAAUCUACAGCCUGGCCUUCGGGGUUUUUAAAGGCUUCCCAGGAGAGCCUAAUGGAUACCAAAGCUGAGUAUCAUCUUAAAUGAAUGAACACAUUUAAUCAGCAC